CCGUCCUGGGGCGCACGGACAGGACCACUCGCUCAGAGCUGGGGACCCACUGGAACUCAAGCCGCUGGUCCGCACCCAGAAGCCCCCACCCGCCGUGGAGGUUCCCGCUGCGGGGUCCCGGGCCUCCUCCCCACCGAGGGUCACCGCCGUUUCCCUCCCGGCCCACGCUCUAACCUCUGCUCUUGGGAAGGUGGGCAACCAGGACCUUGAGUUACUAGAAAAUCUGGAAACGGGAUUUCGGCCUUCACUAAACCUGCUGGCGCAGGAGGGGGACCAGAAAGAUGGCGAAGCUGCGCGUGCGCAGCACUGUCCGCGGCCGGGGCGCAAGUUCUGCUGGCUUGUCUCUUGGCUCAGGUGGAAGACGAAGAGAGUAAAGAAUCCCACCCCUAACAGACACUACCCCCUUAAGGAAUAAGGACUAGCCUGAGCCCUCAGGCCCCCACCCAUGUUUGACUCGGAGACAAUGAUUCCAUUGGACCUUCACUGCGGACCUGUAGUAUCCACUGUCUUUUGCCCCACAUUUUUCUUAUAUAAACCUGAAAAUAUUUUUUAGCACUUUGGAGACAGUCUUUGAGAUGCUAGUCCACCGUCUUCCUUGUAUUGGCCUCACUGAAAUAAAUUCCUUUCCUGUUUCACCAUG
This is a non-coding RNA of Leptonychotes weddellii (Weddell seal), 640 nucleotides long. NCBI's taxonomy places the organism in Eukaryota, Metazoa, Chordata, Mammalia, Carnivora, Phocidae. The record is from RefSeq and is a predicted model, not a curated record.